CUACAAAAGUUUGGUCGAAGUCUAGUUCCCGUAGAAGUCCGGAUGGGGAUUGUUUGUAGAGGAAGCUCGAUCGAAGCCUGCCUGCAAUAGAAGUUCAGAGGGAAUUCGUUCACAAUAGAAGCUUAGGUGGAGGCUUACAGUAGAAAUCUGUCACGGAUCACUCGUAGUAGAAACUCGAAGUAGACCACUUGUAGUGGUAGCUCGGAGUAGAUCGUUUGUAGUAGAAAUUCAAAGUAGACCGCUUGUAGUGGUAGCUCGGAGUAGAUCAUUUGUAGUAGAAAUUUGAAGUAGACCGC
This 296-nucleotide long non-coding RNA is filed under the name Elaeis guineensis (African oil palm). RNAcentral describes it as "long non-coding RNA (EGUI_LNC016539)". Lineage: Eukaryota; Viridiplantae; Streptophyta; Magnoliopsida; Arecales; Arecaceae. The record is from RNAcentral.